GGACUUUUGGUGGAGGAACCAGACUGGAUGUCGGAGGUGAAGCCCGUCCCACCUUGAUGGUUCUGCCCCCUUCCAAUGAGGAGCUGCAGCAGGGGAAGGCCACGCUCGUGUGCCUGGCCAACAAGGGCUUCCCCUCAGACUGGAGUCUGGCCUGGAAGGUGGACGGCAUCAGCGGCGGCAGCUGGGAGGAGAGCAGGGGCCCUGCGGUGAUGGAGCAGGACGCUCGUUACAGCUGGAGCAGCACCCUGAGGCUCUCUGCAGGCCAGUGGAUGAAGGUGGGCUCUGUGACCUGUGAGGCCACCCAGGGCUCCCAGACGCUGGUCUCAGAGACACUGAGGAGGGACCAGUGUUCCCAGGACUGA
Molecule: non-coding RNA, 362 nt
Organism: Labrus bergylta (ballan wrasse)
Lineage: Eukaryota; Metazoa; Chordata; Actinopteri; Labriformes; Labridae
Source: the annotation of a RefSeq genome assembly